AUACGUAGGGGGCAAGCGUUAUCCGGAUUUACUGGGUGUAAAGGGAGCGUAGACGGUAAAGCAAGUCUGAAGUGAAAGCUCGGGGCUCAACCCCGGAACUGCUUUGGAAACUGUUUUACUGGAGUGCAGGAGAGGUAAGCGGAAUUCCUAGUGUAGCGGUGAAAUGCGUAGAUAUUAGGAGGAACACCAGAGGCGAAGGCGGCUUACUGGACUGUAACUGACGUUGAGGCUCGAAGGCGUGGGGAGCAAACAGGAUUAGAUACCCUGGUAGUCCACGCGGUAAACGAUGAUCACUAGGUGUCGGCGGCCAUAGGCGGUCGGUGCCGCAGCAAACGCAAUAAGUGAUCCACCUGGGGAGUACGUUCGCAAGAAUGAAACUCAAAUGAAUUGACGGGG
This 396-nucleotide ribosomal RNA is filed under the name uncultured bacterium. RNAcentral's name for it is "partial 16S ribosomal RNA". It matches the Rfam family "Bacterial small subunit ribosomal RNA", at positions 523 to 918 of the family's 1533-position model. The record is from RNAcentral.